GAAAGUUCCUGAAAGAUGCAAGGAAACUUCCUCUGUGGGCUCCACCUUCAAACUUUUACAACACUUUUAGCAUUGUCUUCCUUUUCUCCCCUUCAAAGUUUAUUGCAGUAAAUAACACAAUAUUAUUCUUUAUUUUGGCAUUCUCUACUAUGUGCUUGGUCUUGCUUUCAGAUAGGCGUCGGCAGUUCAUCCUUCAAGAUGUUCUCCACUUUAUUCUAUUAUUUGUUUGCCAUACUAUGUGACCCUUUUAUGUAUUGGGGCUGGGAUCAGUUAUUUUAUGGUAGCUAUUCGCAAGGCGGGAAAUUGAACUGGCAUUUAUUCUCUAGCUAUGAGUUUCAUGAGUGGAUUAUACAAGGUGGUCAAAAGUUGAGAAGCUCCCUUAACCGAUACAAGUGAAUCUGUUAUGAUCAUUUAGCUUCAAUGGAGAAGUAGGGAGCAAAACGUCCACAACAAGCUUGAACAAUACUCCUCCUCCCUCCUUAGUAUGAUGAGGAUAUGUUGGGUCUUUUACUUUUGCAGCUGUUGGAUUUUCAAUAAUACUCCUCCUCCCUCCUUUGUAUUAAGGCUUUGUGUUAAAUCUUCAGGUGCUGUUAUGCAGGGUUCUUUGUUAAGGCUUUUGGAUGGAUGCAGCUGUUGUUUUGUAUUUUGUAUCUUUAUAUGCAUUUUUAUUAUGAAUUGUAAGAUGUUAUAUUUGUU
Long non-coding RNA from Prunus dulcis (almond), 696 nucleotides. RefSeq lists it as uncharacterized. The transcript is spliced from 3 exons. The record is from RefSeq and is a predicted model, not a curated record. NCBI's taxonomy places the organism in Eukaryota, Viridiplantae, Streptophyta, Magnoliopsida, Rosales, Rosaceae.